Chelonia mydas (Green sea turtle) is the source of this 1390-nucleotide long non-coding RNA. RefSeq lists it as uncharacterized. The transcript is spliced from 2 exons. The record is from RefSeq and is a predicted model, not a curated record. Lineage: Eukaryota; Metazoa; Chordata; Testudines; Cheloniidae.
GGGGGCUGUAGGGAGGGAGUCCCUACAGAGAGCUGGGCUGGGCGAGGCGAGGCGAGACCCAGGAAGGAGCAAAAGCCCUGGUAUUCUAGCCCUUCAGGAAGGGUUCACCCAGAGGAGUUGCAGGAAGAAAGCCUGUGGAAUGCAGAGAAAGAAGAGGCUGAGGGAAAGAGCAGCAAAGGCAGAGAUUGUGUAGAGCCUGGCUGCUGAUUACAGGGUGUCUGGGCUAAAACCCAGAGUAGCGGGCAGGCCUGGGUUCCCCUACCAACCACUGGGAAAGUGGAAUAGACUUGGAAUUGGCAUGGAGGACUGCCUGUGACAGCAUCUGGACAGACUGUCCAGAGGGACUUUAAUACCUUGGAAAGGGAAAAUGAUAGAGGGACCUAGAUGGAGGCCAAGUCAUGAAGAGAGAGUACUCCUGAGUCCUGGAGAGCAAGAGGGACCCCAAGGCAAGUGAGCAACAGAAAAGGGUGCUAGACUGGAUGAGAGCUAAUCCCCAGACCCAACCAGAAGGAGGUACCCUAACAGAGAUGGACUAGAUGAUCCCCACAUUCUCUUCUAGCCUUUGACUUAAUCUAUGAAAUCACAUUAGGAAGCAUUUAUCGCAACCUGUGAAUUGACUCUUGGAGUUCACCCACAGCCUCAGAAUUAGUUCUUCAGCCAACUGUAGACAAGAUGCAGAGCUAGUCUGUUCUGUCCCCUCCCACAUUCAUGGACAGGUUGGGAGUGCGGUUUUCCCUGACUUGAGUUCAUAGCCAACUACAGGAACUGCUCUUCCUGAUCCUGGUGCAGGAAACUUGACUGGACAGUGGCUCUUCAAGCUUUCUGGUCCUCCUCUUCUCCCACCCAGAGGGCAGCUUCUUAGGUCUUGGGACCACUAGUCUCCACGCCUCAUCCCUUUCCAAAAGAGUCAUCUUAGGCUGCAAGGAUACCCCAGCCCUUCAUUACUGAAUGACCAAGAGACUAAGAGUGCCUGACCCAGGGAGAGGUGGGUGGGUGAAUGAGUAAAGUGACUGGGAUGAACAGGUGAGUAAGGAGUGAAAUGAAUUGAUUUGAAGGAGAGAGUUGGGUUUUUGUUCAUUUGUGUGGCUUUUUUUUUUAACUGAGAUGAAGUAAUGGGAGAACUUGUUAAGGGGGUUUGAGAAGGAGGGAGAGACUAAAUAUGGAGGAAUGAGGGUAAAGAGGAGAAGGGAGAUGGAAAUGGAAGUGCAUGAGAAGAAACUGCAAAUAGGAGGAAAAGAAGAGGAGCAAACGAAAGGAAGAUCAAGGGAGCUGAAUAUUAAAAUUAAAAGUUGGAUGUUUAAAAUAUAGUACCAUAAGUACAACCAAUGCUGUAAACUGAGCCACAAGUAUUUCCUAUAAGAGCUUAGAAAGUAAAGAUCAGUUACUGAUA